CCUACGGGGUGCAGCAGUGGGGAAUAUUGCACAAUGGGCGCAAGCCUGAUGCAGCCAUGCCGCGUGUAUGAAGAAGGCCUUCGGGUUGUAAAGUACUUUCAGCGGGGAGGAAGGCGAUAAGGUUAAUAACCUUGUCGAUUGACGUUACCCGCAGAAGAAGCACCGGCUAACUCCGUGCCAGCAGCCGCGGUAAUACGGAGGGUGCAAGCGUUAAUCGGAAUUACUGGGCGUAAAGCGCACGCAGGCGGUCUGUCAAGUCGGAUGUGAAAUCCCCGGGCUCAACCUGGGAACUGCAUUCGAAACUGGCAGACUAGAGUCUUGUAGAGGGGGGUAGAAUUUCAGGUGUAGCGGUGAAAUGCGUAGAGAUCUGAAGGAAUACCGGUGGCGAAGGCGGCCCCUUGGACAAAGACUGACGCUCAGAUGCGAAAGCGUGGGGAGCAAACAGGAUUAGAUACCCCUGUAGUC
Molecule: ribosomal RNA, 465 nt
Filed under: uncultured bacterium
Lineage: Bacteria
Description: bacterial SSU rRNA
Rfam family: Bacterial small subunit ribosomal RNA
Source: RNAcentral